Molecule: long non-coding RNA, 391 nt
Organism: Oncorhynchus tshawytscha (Chinook salmon)
Lineage: Eukaryota; Metazoa; Chordata; Actinopteri; Salmoniformes; Salmonidae
Source: Ensembl
UUUCCGCUGACAUGGGCUGGUUGAUCUGGACAUUUCGGACGGGUUAUAAAUAGCUCUCUAGUGUAUGACAAGAAGAAAACUGAUGAUACCCAAUUUCGAAAUUGCACCAUGUGCAUUCUACUAUUACAAUGUUCAAGAGAUUUUUGAGAUUCUCCCAUGACCCCAUUUUCAUAUCAGGCAUCUCCACAUGGGGUCCCGGCCCCUAGUUUGGGAACCGCUGAAUUAAAUGUAUUCAGCGCACGCAAGGGAACCAUACCUGCAAACCUGCAUAAGGAAAGACGACUGCUUCUCCUCCUCUCUAGCCCACCCUAGAAGUCGUAUGUGGAAGAAGAUUUAACAGAAAACAGAGGACAGAUUUAACAGAAAACAGAGGAAAAUAAAUAUUUAUUUU